RNAcentral lists this ribosomal RNA (253 nucleotides) under uncultured bacterium. RNAcentral's name for it is "partial 16S ribosomal RNA". It matches the Rfam family "Bacterial small subunit ribosomal RNA", at positions 524 to 776 of the family's 1533-position model. The record is from RNAcentral.
UACGUAGGGGGCAAGCGUUGUUCGGAAUUACUGGGCGUAGAGGGCGCGUAGGCGGCACAGCAAGUCGGGAGUGAAAGCCCGGGGCUCAACCCCGGAACGGCUUUCGAAACUGCUGAGCUAGAGUGCGGAAGGGGCAACCGGAAUUCCCAGUGUAGCGGUGAAAUGCGUAGAUAUUGGGAAGAACACCUGAGGCGAAGGCGGGUUGCUGGGCCGACACUGACGCUGAGGCGCGAAAGCCAGGGGAGCAAACGGG